CCUACGGGUGGCAGCAGUGAGGAAUAUUGGUCAAUGGGCGCGAGCCUGAACCAGCCACGUCGCGUGAAGGAUGACUGCCCUACGGGUUGUAAACUCCUUUUAUAAAGGAGUAAAGUGAGGCACGUGUGCCUUUUUGUCUGUACUUUAUGAAUAAGGAACGGCAAACUCCGUGACAGCAGCAGCGGUAAUACGGAGGAUGCGAGCGUUAUCGGGAUGUAUUGGGUUUAAGGGGUGCGUAGGCGGAGGGUCAAGUCAGCGGUAAAAUUUCGGGGCUCAACCCCGGCGUGCCGUUGAAACUGACGCCCUUGAGUGAGUGAGAGGUAGGCGGAAUGCGUGGUGUAGCGGUGAAAUGCAUAGAUAUCACGCAGAACGCCGGUGGCGAAGGCAGCUUGCCGG
RNAcentral lists this ribosomal RNA (396 nucleotides) under uncultured bacterium. RNAcentral describes it as "partial 16S ribosomal RNA". It matches the Rfam family "Bacterial small subunit ribosomal RNA", at positions 338 to 732 of the family's 1533-position model. The record is from RNAcentral.